UACGAUCACAACAGAUGCUGCUCAGCCAUGUUCUUAUGCUAUUAAGACAUCGUGCAAUGAUAGACCCAACAAAUUCUUAGUGGUUCCAAGUACGCUACUAAUGCUAUUACUACUUGGUACUCUUGAAAAUAAACACAUGACAUGCCGUUUGGCCUAUUUGUACCUAAAAUCAUGAUAUUAUGAAAAUCUGAAUUUUUGUUGGAUAAGAGACUAGAAACAACACGAUCCACGUUAGAUAUUGUAAAUUUGAUAUCAACGUCUUCUAUAAAUACAAAUAAUGAGUAUUGAUAUCUUACAAAUCAAUGCAUGUGGAAAUAGCAUUGGACAGUUCAUUUCUCGCAUAAAUUUUAAAAAAAAGAGUUAUAAAACGUCAUCAUCCACGAUUUUAUCUUUUCGUGGUUGGGUUAAUAGAAUUUGGGAUGAUCGGAGAUCGCCAGAAUUAUUGGUCGUAGACAUUUUUUUUGUUUAUAUUUUAUACAAAAUUACUGAAAACUCACCAAAUUUAAUUGUCUAAAAAUUAUCUUUCAAACUGUAAUGUAUAAAUCAUUCAUUCAACACCUUAAAAAAAAAUCUAAAAAACGCACCUUUUACACUGGAAAUAAAACCUCUCCUCCAAAUUUAACCAUAGUAAACCGACUACCCUAUUUCGUUCUAAAAUAAAUGAAAAGGAACCCAUAACUCGAUUUUCAGGAAAAAUAUAUCAAUCAUGCAAUGUAUAAAUCAAACAUUCACAAGUUUAUAAAUAACAUCGAAUGUACCUUAUUGGAUUUAGCACGACGAUGGACGGAGUUGGGGAAGAUGAUCGGAGUUGGGGAAGAUGAUU
RNAcentral lists this long non-coding RNA (823 nucleotides) under Zostera marina. RNAcentral's name for it is "long non-coding RNA (ZMAR_LNC001744)". Lineage: Eukaryota; Viridiplantae; Streptophyta; Magnoliopsida; Alismatales; Zosteraceae. The record is from RNAcentral.